AUGUGUGUUCCGAAGGAACAUGGAGGUAUGGGUUUUCGACAUCUUCACACUUUCAACUUAGCAUUACUAGCGAAACAGUGUUGAAGAUUGAUUGAACAUAAUGAUUCACUAUGUGCCCGAGUGUUAAGAGCUAGAUACUAUGCAAACGGAGAUAUACUUAACUGUGUGCUGAAGAAAGAUCAUCAUAUGUAUGGAGAAGCAUUUGGGCAAGAAUCCAAACGUUUAAGAAAGGUUGCAUAUGGAGAGUACGAGAUGGUGCUAAGAUAG
RNAcentral lists this ribosomal RNA (267 nucleotides) under Triticum aestivum (bread wheat). RNAcentral describes it as "partial small subunit ribosomal RNA". The record is from RNAcentral. Lineage: Eukaryota; Viridiplantae; Streptophyta; Magnoliopsida; Poales; Poaceae.